UACGUAGGGGGCAAGCGUUGUCCGGAUUUAUUGGGCGUAAAGGGUUCGCAGGUGGUCCUUUAAGUCAGAUGUGAAAGAUCACAGCUCAACUGUGGCAAGCAUUUGAAACUGAAGGACUUGAGUUAAGGAGAGGGAAGUGGAAUUCCUAGUGUAGCGGUGAAAUGCGUAGAUAUUAGGAGGAAUACCAGUGGCGAAGGCGACUUUCUGGACUUAUACUGACACUGAGGAGCGAAAGCGUGGAGAGCAAACAGG
This 252-nucleotide ribosomal RNA is filed under the name uncultured bacterium. RNAcentral's name for it is "partial 16S ribosomal RNA". It matches the Rfam family "Bacterial small subunit ribosomal RNA", at positions 524 to 776 of the family's 1533-position model. The record is from RNAcentral.